Molecule: ribosomal RNA, 472 nt
Filed under: uncultured bacterium
Lineage: Bacteria
Description: bacterial SSU rRNA
Rfam family: Bacterial small subunit ribosomal RNA
Source: RNAcentral
UGGGGAAUAUUGGACAAUGGGCGCAAGCCUGAUCCAGCCAUGCCGCGUGGGUGAAGAAGGCCUUCGGGUUGUAAAGCCCUUUUGUCCGGAAAGAAGAGCAUCGAGCUAAUACCUCGGUGUUCUGACGGUACCGGAAGAAUAAGCACCGGCUAACUUCGUGCCAGCAGCCGCGGUAAUACGAAGGGUGCAAGCGUUACUCGGAAUUACUGGGCGUAAAGCGUGCGUAGGUGGUUCGUUAAGUCUGAUGUGAAAGCCCUGGGCUCAACCUGGGAAUUGCAUUGGAUACUGGCGGGCUAGAGUGCGGUAGAGGAUGGCGGAAUUCCCGGUGUAGCAGUGAAAUGCGUAGAGAUCGGGAGGAACAUCUGUGGCGAAGGCGGCCAUCUGGACCAGCACUGACACUGAGGCACGAAAGCGUGGGGAGCAAACAGGAUUAGAUACCCCGGUAGUCCCUGAGCGGGCUGGCAAGGCGCAU